GUGAAAGUUCUGGGUGCGAAAAUAAGUGCCAGUCAAAUGUACUUUUAUGACAGGACAAGCAGAACUCUCUUAGCAGCGGAGUAAGCUAAAAAAAAAUAAGCCCUUAUCUGUUUUCUGUGUUUAAAUUGCUCCAUCAGUAUGGUAUUUAAGUGUCAUGACUUUUAAUGUAUUUACCAUUACAGCACCCUUAGGAUACAUGGCUGUGCUAGUCUGCCCAUUUAAAAGAUGAAGAAAUGAAGCAUAAAGAAGACUCUUUUUUCAUGGACCAGAAGUCCCCUUUCUACAGCAAGAUACUUAGCCAUAUGUACCCUUCCUAACUUUGAUCUUCCCAAGAUUUGGAUGUGCUACCUCUCUGUUUGCAGUGACCUCACCACUCACUCCUGCCACUUGCUUGUGUAUUGCUCUUUGUCUGUAAGGGUAAAGUAUUUUACCAGGUGAGUCUUCCUUUGUGAUUUAACUGGACUGCUGGUAUUCACAGUUCCAGCAAGAAAAGAACACGUUAAAGCUAUUGUAA
This 514-nucleotide long non-coding RNA is filed under the name Dromaius novaehollandiae (emu). RNAcentral describes it as "lncRNA (ENSDNVG00000015094.1)". Lineage: Eukaryota; Metazoa; Chordata; Aves; Casuariiformes; Dromaiidae. The record is from RNAcentral.